RNAcentral lists this long non-coding RNA (1007 nucleotides) under Manihot esculenta (cassava). RNAcentral describes it as "long non-coding RNA (MESC_LNC008519)". Lineage: Eukaryota; Viridiplantae; Streptophyta; Magnoliopsida; Malpighiales; Euphorbiaceae. The record is from RNAcentral.
AAUAAUUGUGAUUAGUACAUUUUGUAUGUAUCUAAUUGGACCAAAUAGAGAAUGGAUGUUUAUACUGGCUAUUAAACAUAUUCUCUAGGACAUUAGAAAUAUAGUUUAUGUUCUUAAUCUUGAUUUAAUUUAAUAUGAGCAAGCAUUUGUUAUCUUGUGCUUUGAUUCAUUAAAGGGUGAGUUUCAUUAUUGGAAUAAUAUUCUCGGUGGAUUGGGCAAAGAUAAUUUGUGUUUGUGAAAUAUUAAUUAAUGAUGGAAUCCAUGUCUCGAUUUAGAGAUUGAUGAUGCACUUUAAGUAUGCUUAUAAGGUUUCAUUGUGUAAACCCUGCAGGUGGAUUUUGAAUCCGACACAUGAAAUAAGUUGAGCGACAAUCUUAAAGUUGUAUUGUUAUUUAAAUAAAUUGUCAGUGAGUUAUUUAAAUAACAGCAUCAGUAAUCUUAACAUGGAGAACAUAAUAUUAUUAUGUUGUGGAAUUGUAAAAUAAAUAAGGAGUUCAAUCAUGAAUUUUUAGUGGUAUGAUUCUUGAUUAAUUAUAAUAAGAAUAUGUUGGUCCUACAUAGGUUCUUAUUGUAAUUAGUGGCCUAAUUUAUUUUAUUCCUGCGGUCCCUGUAGUACCCUAGUUGUUUGGAAUAAUAGGGUUUUUAUUUAAAUAAUAAAUGGAUUAUUUUAUUUAAGUAAUUGAUAAUUAUUUUAAUAAAAUAAUUUAUUAUUUAUUUAUUUAUAUUAAAUGUUAUUUUCCUAUGGAAAAUACGUUUUGAAGAAUAUAAAUAAGAAAAAACCCUAAGUUGAAAAGACGCUUGCGUUAUUCUUUUCUGCCCACUCAGAAAAACUUUCUAGAGAGAUAGCUAGGGUUACUGCAGAAGAUCGUGGGUGACUCCAAGAUCUUAGGAACAAAGACCGGUGAGCGAUUCUGCGCUUCAAGAGGUCAGUUAAUAUUUAUGUUUUUAGUUUCCCUUGAUAUGUGUUUCGGAUCUGGGUUGUUUCCGCUUAAUACCCGCUCCCAUCA